Diceros bicornis minor is the source of this 270-nucleotide long non-coding RNA. RefSeq lists it as uncharacterized. Lineage: Eukaryota; Metazoa; Chordata; Mammalia; Perissodactyla; Rhinocerotidae. The transcript is spliced from 3 exons. The record is from RefSeq and is a predicted model, not a curated record.
UUGGACUGUCUCUGGGGAAAAAUACACGGGAAGACGGGGGCGACUGAGUUGUAGACAAUGCAACCACAGGAAUCAGUGACCUUCAAGGAUAUAGCUGUAGACUUCACCCAGGAAGAGUGGGCCCUGCUGGACACGUCCCAGAGAAAGCUGUACAGAGAUGUGAUGCUGGAGAACAUCAGUCAUCUGGUCUCCGUGGGGUAUGAAGUCUGCAAAUCAGAUGUGAUUUCUCAGUUGGAGCAAGGAAAGGAGCUGUGGAGGGAAGGAAGAGGA